Non-coding RNA from Arabidopsis thaliana (thale cress), 230 nucleotides. RefSeq annotates it as microRNA ath-MIR847 precursor. NCBI's taxonomy places the organism in Eukaryota, Viridiplantae, Streptophyta, Magnoliopsida, Brassicales, Brassicaceae. The transcript has a single exon. The record is from RefSeq.
CAUUUUCUUGUAUUCAAAGUAUCUUAAGUUAAGAAGAGAAUAAGAUUCUUACAUCUUGAUGAAGAGGAAUGGGAAGCCGAAAUCUAAACUGAAACAGAGGCGUCACCCAAUUAUCAAUUGGUAAGUGAUAUCUAUGUUUCGAUCUGUAUCUCGGCCUUUCACUCCUCUUCUUCUUGAUGUAAGAAUUUGUUAUUCGACACAUUAGAUGGAGUGAAAAAUCUGUUAGAUAU